ACGGAAGGCAGCAGUGGGGAAUAUUGCACAAUGGGCGAAAGCCUGAUGCAGCGACGCCGCGUGAGUGAAGAAGUAUCUCGGUAUGUAAAGCUCUAUCAGCGGGGAAGAAAAUGACGGUACCUGACUAAGAAGCCCCGGCUAACUACGUGCCAGCAGCCGCGGUAAUACGUAGGGGGCAAGCGUUAUCCGGAUUUACUGGGUGUAAAGGGAGCGUAGACGGUUUGGCAAGUCUGAAGUGAAAUGCGGGGGCUCAACUCCUGAACUGCUUUGGAAACUGUCGAACUAGAGUGCAGGAGAGGUAAGUGGAAUUCCUAGUGUAGCGGUGAAAUGCGUAGAUAUUAGGAGGAACACCAGUGGCGAAGGCGGCUUACUGGACUGUAACUGACGUUGAGGCUCGAAAGCGUGGGGAGCAAACAGGAUUAGAUACCCUGGUA
Molecule: ribosomal RNA, 434 nt
Filed under: uncultured Lachnospiraceae bacterium
Lineage: Bacteria; Bacillati; Bacillota; Clostridia; Lachnospirales; Lachnospiraceae
Description: partial 16S ribosomal RNA
Rfam family: Bacterial small subunit ribosomal RNA
Source: RNAcentral